Molecule: long non-coding RNA, 2412 nt
Filed under: Nicotiana benthamiana
Lineage: Eukaryota; Viridiplantae; Streptophyta; Magnoliopsida; Solanales; Solanaceae
Description: long non-coding RNA (NBEN_LNC037499)
Source: RNAcentral
CCAGAUCCGUCCUCUACCCGGUCCAAAACCCCAUCUUUAAUGAAAUGGCGCCGCUUAGAGUUCCCAGUCCUGAAAUGAUGCGAGCCCUUUAUCUUAGUCUAUCUGACGGCCUAGAACACUUCCUUCAUUAUCCUUAAAUAUGUCCUAAAGUGGCAGAGACCAAACAGACCCUCCCCUUCCCCCUCCUCCCUCCUCCCAUCUCUAACCUCUAAACCUAGACCCGCCGCCCUGAGUUUCUUCACCAUCUACGAUCGGCGGCGGAGCUCAAACCACCACGAAACAGCCUUAAGUCUCUCCCCUGCAACCCUUAAACCCCACUGAACAUGAGGAUAACACGAAAUUUCCCAGAACCCCCACCUUCCCCCUUCAAUUCCAAAUUUGAGAAUCUAAAAAGCCUAAGACAUCCCUAACGUUAAAUUUCAUGUAUUCGAGGCCCGGUGUGACUCAAGACUUAUGUUAGUUGAUUGUUCUCCCUCUGAACAACGGAUUAAUGGUAGUUUUGGCUCACUCCGGGAAUUACCAGUCUUCAACCAUACCAUGGACAUUGAUUUUCACGGGUAAUCCUUAAACUUCUUAUUUGAGUUCUUCUAGCAAAUUUUAAUUUUGUUUCUAUGAUUAAAGAAUUUCACAAGAAAAAGAAAAUUUACACAUUAGUAAGAAAUAUUAUGGAUAAGUAUAGAUAAGUAAUGCUACUGGUUUUAAUUCAUUCACGUAUUUAAGAAUUUUUCUUUGUGAAAAAUCCAUAGAACUUUAUAAAAUUAGAUAAAUAAAUUAUAUGAACAAGUUAAAGUUGAUAGAUUACUAAUUACUCAGAGCAUGAGCAGAGAAAAUAAAAUCGGGAAAUUUAGACUCAAACACAAACCCCGAUGAUUGAGUAUUCUAAAUUAGGUAAAGAUUUAGCAUAAAUAAGGCAAUUAACAUGAGAUAAAUGUUAUGAAAUUAUAGAUUGAUGAGAGGAAUUUGUACGAAUUGCUCGAGGUGAAGCAUUUGAUAUUUUGGUACGAGUACUAUGAUUAGUAAUGUUACCACAAUUUGUGUUUUCAUAACCUGCAUGGUUUAUAUAUUACUUGAAAAUAAAUGUGUUACCGAUGCUUUGAAAUUGCAUGUGGGACAAGUCAUUUACUUGAUAUGGUACCGAACAUUUUACUUGAGAUGUUUACCAGUUAAUUUUAAUAUUUGUUUUACCAUUACUAGAUAUAUUUUACCGUUACGUGAGAUGUUACAGUUAUUUGAAUUAUUAUCACUGUUACUAAAUAUGUUUUACUGUUACUUGAGACAUGAUUACCGUUACCGAAAUAAAAUUACAAGAUUUGAUAAGAAACUAUAUGCCCUUUAUUAUUUUGAAUAUGCUUUUGUAUGAAUAUUUACUAUUUACGAAAAAGAGUAUAAAUGGUAGGAGACGAUAUGCCCCUUAUUAUUUCGAAAAUGCUUUUGUACGACUAUUUACUGUUUACAAAAAAGUGCAUAAAUGGGAGGAGACUUUGAAGGAUCCCGUAGCUAAAGGCGUGUUCGUUAGACCUGGCUUGUAUUUACAGAUUACCGAUUACAGUUAUAGCCCUCGCUAGUGAGAAGGUAGAACUAGCAUACAAAUACAGUUUUCUACAGUUAUACUUGACUCCUUUUAUGAAGGGGUCCACAUAGUGAUACAGAUUAGAUGAUCCGUUUCUGGAAACCUCCCAAAUAUAAAGACUUGAUAUGACACAGUAUUUACCGAGUUUAUUACUGAAUUAUUAAAGUGAUUUUAUUACAGGAAAUACAUGACGAGACUGAGUAAUAUUACUGUUUUAAAAAGGACAUUUUAUUUUGUGAUUAUUAUGCAAGCAUGUUUUCUGACUUGUCCCCAAAUAAAAACGGUUGUGGUUAAGUGUUACUACUCACUGAGCUAGAGACUCAUUCCCCACUAAUUUUUUUUGCAGAGACAGCAGUUGACGUAGGAGGGGAUUUCGUUACUUAGAGCGUACAGGUUGAGAAUUCUUGGUGAGCCUCGCACUUGUUCGCGUGGUCGGAGAUUUUUAUCAUAUGUUAUGGUCUUUUCUUUAAAUUCUUAGAAUCACUCCAUAGUCAUUCUUUUAGUGUUAUGAGUAUUAAUUGCUAUUAGUCUUAUGUUGAGUAUUGUUUUUAGUAUUAAAGUUGGAGAUACUUAGUCUUUCUAGUUGCUAGUUGGUGGUUUAGUCAUGGUGGAUACUUGUGUUUGUUAAUUGACAUGUUGUCAAUCGUUUGGUAUGAUAUUAGGAUGUUUGGUUGUUGAUUUGAGACAGGAAAAUUUUUCUUGGAUGGUCCAAAAAUAGCGAAAACUUUGUCCGAUUUUCUGUAAAAUUACCGGUGAGGCUUAAUUGGGAGCAGUUGCUCCUAAGCGCCGGUCACAAUCCUAAAUUGGGUCGUGACAUCAACCAUACUAAAGUAACAAAUACC